UAGACUCAGAAAAAGAAAAGGAGCUUGAAAGGCAAGCCCGCAUUGAGGCAAGCCUUCGAGAACGAGAAAGGGAGGUUCAAAAGGCCCGUUCAGAACAAACGAAAGAAAUAGAUCGAGAGAGAGAGCAGCACAAACGAGAAGAAGCUAUCCAGAAUUUCAAAGCUCUUCUGUCUGACAUGGUACGUUCUUCAGAUGUGUCAUGGUCUGAUACUCGUAGGACCCUCCGAAAAGAUCACCGCUGGGAAUCUGGAUCCUUAUUGGAAAGAGAGGAGAAAGAGAAGCUUUUUAAUGAACACAUUGAAGCACUUACCAAAAAAAAGAGAGAGCACUUUAGGCAACUUCUGGAUGAAACUUCUGCAUCCAGUUACGCUUGGGCAUUACAAGAGAUCGCAGAUUACCUUAACAUCCACGUGGAAAGAAGUAAAAAAAAUCAUUAAGGAAGAUCCUCGGUGUAUUAAGUUCUCCUCCAGUGACAGGAAAAAACAAAGAGAAUUUGAAGAAUAUAUCAGAGACAAAUAUAUCACAGCCAAAGCUGACUUCAGGACGCUUUUGAAAGAGACCAAAUUUAUAACAUAUAG
RNAcentral lists this small RNA (578 nucleotides) under Pan troglodytes (chimpanzee). RNAcentral describes it as "processed transcript". The record is from RNAcentral. Lineage: Eukaryota; Metazoa; Chordata; Mammalia; Primates; Hominidae.